GAAAGAUAAUCGCGGAUACCGUUUGCGUAUCUGAGGAAAGUCCGGGCUCCACAGGGCAAUGUGCUGGAUAACGUCCAGCGAGGGUGACCUCAGGGAAAGUGCUAUAGAAACUUAAACCGCCUGCUUCGGCAGGUAAGGGUGGAAAGGUGCGGUAAGAGCGCACCAGCAGGCAGGUGACUGUCUGGCUAGGUAAACCCCACAUGGAGCAAGACCGAAUAGGGAAGGGAUGAAGCGGCCCGCAGAGCCUUCCGGGUUGUGUCGCUAGAGCUUAUAGGUAACUAUAAUGCCAAGAUAAAUGAUUAUCGCCACGCAAGUGGAACAAAACUCGGCUUAUUGAUU
Molecule: RNase P RNA, 339 nt
Filed under: Candidatus Megamonas gallistercoris
Lineage: Bacteria; Bacillati; Bacillota; Negativicutes; Selenomonadales; Selenomonadaceae
Description: Bacterial RNase P class A
Rfam family: Bacterial RNase P class A
About the family: Ribonuclease P (RNase P) is a ubiquitous endoribonuclease, found in archaea, bacteria and eukarya as well as chloroplasts and mitochondria. Its best characterised activity is the generation of mature 5'-ends of tRNAs by cleaving the 5'-leader elements of precursor-tRNAs. Cellular RNase Ps are ribonucleoproteins.
Source: RNAcentral